CCACGGGUUUAUUGCCUGUUGGUGCGACUUGGAAGUGGGCGUCUGCCGGUCAAACGGCUCGCCUUAAAGACGUUAGUGAGAACAAGUUCUUAUGGCUCGACGUAAUAAGUUUCGUCCGGUCCGGUCCUUGGGCUUGCUCACAACCCCCAAUACACUUUAUGUCUGACCUCAAAUCAGGUAGGGCUACCCGCUGAACUUAA
RNAcentral lists this unclassified non-coding RNA (200 nucleotides) under soil metagenome. RNAcentral describes it as "partial contains internal transcribed spacer 2 and large subunit ribosomal RNA". The record is from RNAcentral.